UUCACACUUCUGCCAUCUCUUAACGCAGCUCCUUCAACUAUAGCGAGGAUGUAGAUGUCGAUAGCACAAUUGGUAACAUACGGAACUAUUAUUCCAUACUGUCGACUUCGAGCUGUCAAAUUGGGACCAAGUGAUUGACGCGUGAUUCGGAGACCACCAUUGUCCCUAUCCUGAGUCUGAUGAAUCCAGUCCACACCCUACCAUCUUAUUCCAUUAAGAACCUUGUUGAAGAGGUCAUGCUACCAUCCAUCACUGGCAUUAUGAAUUAGUUGAUAUAUAACCAUUCUAUUCCAUAGUAGAAUUUAAGAGUUUCACAGCAGAGUCCGAAGAUGGCUGUUUUCAGUGAGAAACCGGAAGUGUUUCUGAUUUUCACCUGUUCUGGUAUCUUGGGAGGAAGUAACUUGCUGUUUGGCCAAUGAGUGGAUUGGAGAAGAGUUGAACUGCUGGGCCCAUGCUUCAGAAGCAAAAAUCAGUGCAACAAACUGCAACAAGGUUAAGAGACGAGUUUUAUGGCAAUUAAAUCAGAAAGUGCAAACAUACAUAACACGAUUACCAGAGUACGACUACCAGACUACAUGGUGGCACAUCCCAGAAGACAGUCAUAUUCAUGCUCAGCCAUAGAGAACCCGAAAUCUCGCCAAGAUACAUUAAUUCGAUAAAUAAAUGUUGUGUUUUUAAAAAUUCAUUACUAAUGCUCAGAACUGUUAGCGUCGUAUCAUGUACAUGUCAAAAUAUAUUCGAAAAAAUUUAAAGAAUUUUUUUUAGCGUUCAGACUUUCCCAAGUCUUUAAGUUCUUCUGAAGAAUGGGAGCACAGAAUAAAAAGCCCAAACGAAUUCCUGUGCCAUUUUAAAACAAAACUUCAGUGAAUCUAUGAGAAAAUUAUAGAGCCUGUUAACUUCUUCUGUAUAAUUAGACAAACAAAAUCAAUCGCCAACUGAGUUGACAGUGAAUUCGUCGGCGAGUAGCGAGUUAAGUCGUCUGAUGUAAUUGACACCUAAGA
Zootermopsis nevadensis is the source of this 1001-nucleotide non-coding RNA. Lineage: Eukaryota; Metazoa; Arthropoda; Insecta; Blattodea; Termopsidae. The record is from RefSeq and is a predicted model, not a curated record.